CUGUCACCGUAAGGGCAAGGGUUCCUUGACAAUGUAGAUCAGUCAAGGGUAAGUCGAUCCUAACCGACUUCGUAAUUCGAACAUUCGGGAAAGGGAAACAGGUUAAUAUUCCUGUACUUUUAGAGUAUGUGUGGUGACACAAGUUUUAUUUCUGACACUUUUGGAUAGGCGGACAAGUAUUGUCGUACUUGUUAAUAAAUGUAAGCCAAAGGAGUAACGUAAUGUUGAGAAUUUGGUUAAAGUUUAGAAUAGUGGACUUUUAGUUCAUUCUGUCGAUUCCUGGAGUCCGUGAAAAGGGAAUAAAAAAAGAUCUUUAAAAUUCGUACCCAGAACCAGCACAGGUGCCCCUAGGUGAGAAGCCUCAGGUGUGUAGGGAAAAACUAGUUAAGGGAAUUCGGCAAAUUAGCCCUGUACCUUCGGUAUAAGGGGUCCCUACUUUUGUAUCCGUACGGUUGCAAUUGUAGGGCUUGGUGACUAAGGUAGUCCGACUGUUUAACAAAAACAUAACCGACUGCGAGCCAGUAAUGGUGUGUAUAGUCGGUGACGUCUGCCCAGUGCCUGUACUUGAAACUCCUUUUCAAGGGAGCUAAGAGCUGGUAAACGGCGGGGGUAACUAUAACUCUCUUAAGGUAGCGAAAUGCCUUGCCGUUUGAUUGACGGCCUGCAUGAAUGGCGUAACGAGAUUACCACUGUCCCUAACUAGUACCCUCCGAAAACUCUUUUUCGGUGCAAAAGCCGAAGAAUUCCAGUGGGAAGUGAAGACCCCGUGAAACUUUACUGUAGCCUGUAGUUGUGAUGUGAGAUUCAUUAUAUAGCGUAAAUGGGAGUCGCUUGAAGCAAAGUCGCCAGAUUUUGUGGAGACGUCAAUGUAACACCAUUUUUUGAAUUUUGCAUCGCUCGACCAUAAAAUUUGGGACAUCUGCAGGUGGACAGUUUGGCUGGGGUGGCACGCCGUUGAAAAGGUAUCAAUGGCGCCCAAAGGUUGGCUCAAACGGGUCAGAAAUCCGUUGUAGAGUGCAAGAGCAAAAGCCAGCCUAACUGGGAUCGUAACAAGAUCGAUCUCAGUAACGAAAGUUAGGUCUAGCGAUCCAUCAAUUCUCCUUGACUGGGGGUUGGUGUUGACCAAAAAGUUACUCCGGGGAUAACAGAGUUGUCGCGCCCGAGAGCUCGUAUCGACGGCGCGGCUUGCUACAUCGAUGUCGGCUCUUCCUAUCCUGGUGCUGCAGAAGGUGCCAAGGGUGGGGGUGUUCACCCAUUAAAAGGGAUCGUGAGCUGGGUUCAGAACGCUGUGAGGCAGUUUGUUUAAUAUCUACUGGAAUUGUUUAUAGUCUGAGAGGAAGGAUCACUUAGUACGAGAGGAACGGUGGCUCGGCGCCUCUGGUGGAUGGAUUGUUCGAUAGGGCAUGUCCAGCAGCUACGCGCCACGAGGUAAGUGCUGAAAGCAUCUAAGCACGAAACUCCCCUCGAAAAGAGACUUGAGAGCUCCUAUAGAAGAUAGGUUUGAUAGGACUGGGGUGUAAGAAUCGAGGCAACGAGAUUUUUAGCCCGCGGUUACUAAUCGCUCGUAUUUGUGUUUU
Molecule: ribosomal RNA, 1577 nt
Filed under: oral metagenome
Description: bacterial LSU rRNA
Rfam family: Archaeal large subunit ribosomal RNA
Source: RNAcentral